GAUGAACGCUGGCGGCGUGCUUAACACAUGCAAGUCGAACGGUGAAGGCGGAGCUUGCUCUGCUGGAUCAGUGGCGAACGGGUGAGUAACACGUGAGAAAUCUGCCCCUGACUCUGGGAUAAGCGCUGGAAACGGCGUCUAAUACUGGAUACGAGCUGCGAAGGCAUCUUCAGCAGCUGGAAAGAAUUUCGGUCAGGGAUGAGCUCGCGGUCUAUCAGCUUGUUGGUGAGGUAAUGGCUAACCAAGGCGUCGACGGGUAGCCGGCCUGAGAGGGUGACCGGCCACACUGGGACUGAGACACGGCCCAGACUCCUACGGGAGGCAGCAGUGGGGAAUAUUGCACAAUGGGCGAAAGCCUGAUGCAGCAACGCCGCGUGAGGGACGACGGCCCUCGGGUUGUAAACCUCUUUGAGCAGGGAAGAAGCGAAAGUGACGGUACCUGCAGAAAAAGCGCCGGCUAACUACGUG
This 468-nucleotide ribosomal RNA is filed under the name uncultured bacterium. Its description in RNAcentral is "partial 16S ribosomal RNA". It matches the Rfam family "Bacterial small subunit ribosomal RNA", at positions 28 to 507 of the family's 1533-position model. The record is from RNAcentral.